This 250-nucleotide unclassified non-coding RNA is filed under the name Hevea brasiliensis (rubber tree). Lineage: Eukaryota; Viridiplantae; Streptophyta; Magnoliopsida; Malpighiales; Euphorbiaceae. The record is from RNAcentral.
AGUGUCUCUUAUGUGACUUCCAAAUAACAAGUGGCCGAUGUGUUUACUGAAGGUUUAAACAGCAAGAUAUUUCAUACUCUAGUUUGCAAGUUGGGAAUAUGUAACAUAUAUGAUUCAACUUGAGGGGGAGUGUUGGAAAAGUCAAUCCUAUGUAAAUAAUCUAAUUAGAAAAGGACUAGGACUCCUAGUUAAUAAGAGAUUCCUAGCAGUAUAGUAGCACAAAUAUAGAAGAUGUUGUGUGUGUGUGUGU